AACGGCAAGCGGGGAGCUUGGGAUCUAGGUCCCGGCAAUAUCUGCUGCAGGCUGCCCCAUGUCCUCAGUUUCCUCGUCUGCAAAAUGGGGGCCAGCGCGCUUUGCAGGGACUUGCAGAGCUGUGAGGGCGAUCGGAAGCGCCCCUCUGCAGCCGGUCCUGCACCACUCAGGCUCAGUUUCCGUUCUCAAACGUCAAGCAGACCCAACCCGUCCGGACGAAGCCCCCUGCCCAUUCACUCGCCUCCCCGCCCCAGACCUGCCUCCUUUUCUUCAGAGAGCGCUUCAUUUUCCGAAAUUAAAUGUCCCUCUGCGUGAGAGCCAGCACCUGGUCCGUCUGGUUCACCCCUCGGCCCCCGGACGCUACCACCGGGCUGGCACGCGAGCACGUGCUCUUCGCUCCUCGACAGCUCCUCUCCCCCAGGCCGAGCGCUCGAUCCGCUUGGGCUCGGAUCCAGUGGCUUCAAGUGCACCGGCGACGCAGGUCAGAGCCAGGAGGGCCACCACGAGGGAGAAACAGUGACAUAACGCUGCAUUCUGGCCUGGAGACGACACCGCGCAUGGGCUCCAUCUGUGGCCCCUGCUUCAGGAGGAGGACACCCGAGGCCUGUUGGCUGACAGGGAGGUCAGACCUGUCCAAAUGCAGGAAUGCUGUCCCCACCCCCGCUCAUUGCACCAGCAGGUCCUAGGGGGCUGGAAGUGGGGGGCUCUCUGGGGAGACUGGAGACUCAUCACGGGGACAGAGGCCACUGAGCCAAGGGAAGGAGUGGCCGUGUAUUUGUCACCAACGCCCCGCUCCCAGGUACAUGCGCUCAUCUGUGCUCUGGUGAUUUGGUCCCGUUAGCCUGUGUGUCCUGAGCUGUUUGGAAGCUUUCUCAGUAGCUGGAAGUUCACAUUCCCAGGACCUUGAUUAGUGAGGUCAGCAGGAAGAGGAAGGCCACUGACCCACGACUGGAAUGUGGGCUAACUGCAGCUGUGUGGCUGGUGGGACCAGAACAGCUGCCGUGGAGACAGUUGAUGGAUCCUCAAAAAUUUGACAUAGACUUGCCACUGGCCCAGCAGUCCACGCCCGGGUAUAUCCAGGAGGACCAGAAACGGGG
Marmota flaviventris (yellow-bellied marmot) is the source of this 1097-nucleotide long non-coding RNA. RefSeq lists it as uncharacterized. The record is from RefSeq and is a predicted model, not a curated record. Lineage: Eukaryota; Metazoa; Chordata; Mammalia; Rodentia; Sciuridae.